Molecule: ribosomal RNA, 484 nt
Filed under: uncultured bacterium
Lineage: Bacteria
Description: partial 16S ribosomal RNA
Rfam family: Bacterial small subunit ribosomal RNA
Source: RNAcentral
AUUGAACGCUGGCGGCAGGCCUAACACAUGCAAGUCGAGCGGGUGAAGGGUGCUUGCUCCUGGACUCAGCGGCGGACGGGUGAGUAAUGCCUAGGAAUCGGCCUGGUAGUGGGGGAUAACGUCCGGAAACGGGCGCUAAUACCGCAUACGUCCGGAGGGAGAAAGUGGGGGUUCUUCGGACCUCACGCUAUCAGAUGAGCCUAGGUCGGAUUAGCUAGUUGGUGGGGUAAAGGCCUACCAAGCCGAAGAUCCGUAACUGGUCUGAGAGUGUGAUCAGUCCACCAGGAAUGGAGACACGGUCCAGACACCCACGGAAGGCAGCCAGCGGGAAUAUUGGACAAUGGGCGAAAGCCUGAUCCAGCCAUGCAGCGUGUGUGCAGAAGGUCUUCGGAUUGUAAAGCACUUUGCGUUGGGAGGAAGAGAAGUCAGCUAAUACCUUGCUGUUUUAACGUUACCAAAAGAAUAAGCACCGGCUAACUCCGUG